Molecule: ribosomal RNA, 477 nt
Filed under: uncultured bacterium
Lineage: Bacteria
Description: partial 16S ribosomal RNA
Rfam family: Bacterial small subunit ribosomal RNA
Source: RNAcentral
GAUGAACGCUGGCGGCGUGCUUAACACAUGCAAGUCGAACGGGAAACCUUUUAUUGACGCUUCGGCAGAUUUAGCUGGUUUCUAGUGGCGGACGGGUGAGUAACGCGUGGGUAACCUGCCUUAUACAGGGGGAUAACAACCAGAAAUGGUUGCUAAUACCGCAUAAGCGCACAGGACCGCAUGGUCCGGUGUGAAAAACUCCGGUGGUAUAAGAUGGACCCGCGUUGGAUUAGCUAGUUGGCAGGGUAACGGCCUACCAAGGCGACGAUCCAUAGCCGGCCUGAGAGGGUGAACGGCCACAUUGGGACUGAGACACGGCCCAGACUCCUACGGGAGGCAGCAGUGGGGAAUAUUGCACAAUGGGGGAAACCCUGAUGCAGCGACGCCGCGUGAAGGAAGAAGUAUCUCGGUAGGUAAACUUCUAUCAGCAGGGAAGAUAGUGACGGUACCUGACUAAGAAGCCCCGGCUAACUACGU